GCCUGGGUGGCUCAGUCGGUUGAGCGUCCGACUUCGGCUCGGGUCACGAUCUCACGGUUCGUGAGUUCGAGCCCCGCGUCGGGCU
RNAcentral lists this transfer RNA (85 nucleotides) under Felis catus (domestic cat). It matches the Rfam family "tRNA". Rfam says of the family: Transfer RNA (tRNA) molecules are approximately 80 nucleotides in length. Their secondary structure includes four short double-helical elements and three loops (D, anti-codon, and T loops). Lineage: Eukaryota; Metazoa; Chordata; Mammalia; Carnivora; Felidae. The record is from Rfam by way of RNAcentral.